CCUACGGGAGGCAGCAGUGGGGAAUUUUCCGCAAAUGGGCGAAAGCCUGACGGAGCAAUACCGCGUGAGCGAGGAAGGCUCUUGGGUUGUACACCUCUUUUCUCAGGGAAGAAUACAAUGACGGUACCUGAGGAAUAAGCAUCGGCUAACUCCGUGCCAGCAGCCGCGGUAAUACGGAGGAUGCAAGCGUUAUCCGGAAUUAUUGGGCGUAAAGCGUCCGCAGGUGGCAGUUCAAGUCUGCUGUCAAAGGUCAGGGCUCAACCCUGAACAGGCAGUGGAAACUGAACAGCUAGAGUGCGGUAGGGGCAGAGGGAAUUCCCAGUGUAGCGGUGAAAUGCGUAGAGAUUGGGAAGAACACCGGUGGCGAAAGCGCUCUGCUAGGCCUGCACUGACACUCAGGGACGAAAGCUAGGGGAGCGAAUGGGAUUAGAUACCCCAGUAGUCCUAGCCGUAAACGAUGGAUACUAGGCGUAGCUUGUAUCGACCCAAGCUGUGCCGUAGCUAACGCGUUAAGUAUCCCGCCUGGGGAGUACGAACGCAAGCGUGAAACUCAAAGGAAUUGACGC
RNAcentral lists this ribosomal RNA (566 nucleotides) under uncultured bacterium. RNAcentral describes it as "bacterial SSU rRNA". It matches the Rfam family "Bacterial small subunit ribosomal RNA", at positions 338 to 916 of the family's 1533-position model. The record is from RNAcentral.